RNAcentral lists this small nucleolar RNA (129 nucleotides) under Microcebus murinus (gray mouse lemur). Lineage: Eukaryota; Metazoa; Chordata; Mammalia; Primates; Cheirogaleidae. The record is from RNAcentral.
GGCCUCUCCUCCUUGGGACCAUAGGGGGCCAGUUUCUCCUCUGCCAAGGACAAGGCCUAGAUCAGCCCCGAGGAUCAUUGUGAGGACUGCCAGGAGUUGGCCAGCCUUGUUUUCCUGCCUCAGACAUUC